AAGGAAUAUUGGACAAUGGACGGAAGUCUGAUCCAGCCAUGCCGCGUGCAGGAUGAAGGCGCUCAGCGUUGUAAACUGCUUUUGGAUGGGAAUAAUAACCUCGACGUGUCGGGGCUUGAAGGUACCAUCAGAAUAAGCACCGGCUAACUCCGUGCCAGCAGCCGCGGUAAUACGGAGGGUGCAAGCGUUAUCCGGAAUCACUGGGUUUAAAGGGUGCGUAGGCGGCGCGAUAAGUCAGUUGUGAAAUUCCCCGGCUCAACCGGCGGGACUGCGAUUGAUACUGUUGUGCUUGAAUCAGGUUGAGGUAGGCGGAAUGUGGCAUGUAGCGGUGAAAUGCUUAGAUAUGCCAUAGAACACCAAUUGCGAAGGCAGCUUGCUGGACCUGUAUUGACGCUGAGGCACGAAAGCGUGGGGAGCAAAC
This 421-nucleotide ribosomal RNA is filed under the name uncultured bacterium. Its description in RNAcentral is "bacterial SSU rRNA". It matches the Rfam family "Bacterial small subunit ribosomal RNA", at positions 356 to 773 of the family's 1533-position model. The record is from RNAcentral.